GGAAGCCGGCCCAGCAGGUUCUCAGAUCUGCACUUUCUUCCUCUCUCGGUGUUUGCAUCUUCCUGGUACCCUCAAAUCCAAAACGAGUCAUCUCUGCAGCAAAUCAGGUCAUUUCCUGCACCACGCUGACUGUGAAGGCUUCGAGGGCUCCAGUUUGGGGACACCCGGACCUGGAUUAGAAGAAGCACCCUUGGGUCUCAUUUUCUUCCAUGGAUCCUCAAUUCCGUAAUCCUGGGGGUUGUGCUGCACCUUGCCAUCUGGAGCGGAGCCUGGAGAGGAGGCGGUAGUGCGGAUGGGAAGGUGGCGGCUGUGCUGCUGGCCUCCUGAGAGAGCAGCCCCACAAAGGAGGGAAGAGAGGCUGCUGGAAACUCGAACCUCAGGGGCAUAGAGCUUGCUGGCCUGGCUCCUGCCUCUGCCCUGGGCUGCGGUGGGACAGUCCCUGCCUGCUGCUUCCUUGGGGGACCAGGAGCAACAGCACGGCCCCCAGGAGCCCCCAGGAGGGGAGGGCCAGGAUGUCAGGCAUCACAGACAGGAAACAAGAGAGGAGGGGCUUCCUGCCCUUCCCCACCACACGCCCAUCCCAAGGCUGUGGCCUAGAGGAGCUUGGAGACUCCUAAGGAAGAAGCUCACGGACUCAGAGAUCAGACACCCAAGGGUGUCACUCCAUUAGAGCACGGAUGGGACAGCAUAAAGCCCAAGGCAGAACUAGAGGGACAGAUAGGUGAAACAGGACGGCCAAGAAACUGAGGCAAGGAGCCGAGUGCCCCAGGGCUGGAGCUUGGGGGUGCAGCCCUUCGUUGGGAUGCGCAAGGCCUGGGUUCCAUCCCCAGCACCGGAAGGCAGCACGGAGCAAGAACAAGAGAUCAACGAGCCGCCUGGAAAUGGGGGAAGAGUACAGAGGGGCAGCAAACGCAGCGGAAGAGCGGACCCGUAAGGGA
Molecule: long non-coding RNA, 938 nt
Filed under: Heterocephalus glaber (naked mole-rat)
Lineage: Eukaryota; Metazoa; Chordata; Mammalia; Rodentia; Bathyergidae
Description: lncRNA (ENSHGLG00000037530.1)
Source: RNAcentral